GCUUCCGCAUCCAUGCCUCUUCCGUCUCGUCUCUAGCCUCUCCGGUGCGCCCUCGGAGCGGUUUGUUCACGCCGGCGAACUCCUCGAGCCGCCGCUCCCCUUCCCCCGGCGCGGGUCCGCCUCUGCGGGUUCUUCAGCGCCGCAACCGAUCCUGGGUUUCCCGCGCAGCAGCCGCCGGCGACGACCCCCUGCCUGGCCCGCGCCGUCUUCGGCUUCGCGCGCGGCGGCUAAUUCUGCAAUACGCCUCGCAUUGAUCUCGGGGAGGAGCCACUGGCGGCCCACUGGAGAAGUGGAGAUGGUGUUGACCAACUAGGGUGAGUCGUCUUCUGGUGAUGCUGAAGUCUCUGUCUCCAAGCAUGGAAAAUCAACAGUCAAGGUUCUUUGAUAGGUGUACCUACCAGUCUACUAGGCUGCAGGAGCAGAGUGGGCAAUUGGACAACACCCUGGAUUAUUCAUUGCUAGCAAACAAGUAGAACGGAAGAAAUAUAUGACAGCAGUACACGGUUUGAUCGACUUGUUGUUAGUGCAGUUUAUUAAUAUAUAAAUAAAUAGUAGGACUAAUUCGUCUAUCUGCUGACAACCUCGUUGGACACGUAUGGCCUGAAAAGU
Molecule: long non-coding RNA, 609 nt
Organism: Setaria italica (foxtail millet)
Lineage: Eukaryota; Viridiplantae; Streptophyta; Magnoliopsida; Poales; Poaceae
Exons: 3
Source: RefSeq, a predicted model, not a curated record